GACGAACGCUGGCGGCGUGCUUAACACAUGCAAGUCGAACGGAAAGGCCCUGCUUUUGUGGGGUGCUCGGGUGGCGAACGGGUGAGUAACACGUGAGUAACCUGCCCUUGACUUUGGGAUAACUUCAGGAAACUAGGGCUAAUACCGGAUAGGAGCUCCUGCUGCAUGGUGGGGGUUGGAAAGUUUCGGCGGUUGGGGAUGGACUCGCGGCUUAUCAGCUUGUUGGUGGGGUAGUGGCUUACCAAGGCUUUGACGGGUAGCCGGCCUGAGAGGGUGACCGGGCACAUUGGGACUGAGAUACGGCCCAGACUCCUACGGGAGGCAGCAGUGGGGAAUAUUGCACAAUGGGCGGAAGCCUGAUGCAGCAACGCCGCGUGCGGGAUGACGGCCUUCGGGGUGUAAACCGCUUUAGCCUGUGACGAAGCGUGAGUGACGGUAAUGGGUAAAGAAGCACCGGCUAACUACGUG
Molecule: ribosomal RNA, 468 nt
Filed under: uncultured bacterium
Lineage: Bacteria
Description: partial 16S ribosomal RNA
Rfam family: Bacterial small subunit ribosomal RNA
Source: RNAcentral